This 740-nucleotide ribosomal RNA is filed under the name uncultured bacterium. RNAcentral's name for it is "bacterial SSU rRNA". It matches the Rfam family "Bacterial small subunit ribosomal RNA", at positions 790 to 1530 of the family's 1533-position model. The record is from RNAcentral.
GUAGUCCCGGCUGUAAACGAUGUCGACUUGGAGGUUGUGCCCUUGAGGCGUGGCUUCCGGAGCUAACGCGUUAAGUCGACCGCCUGGGGAGUACGGCCGCAAGGUUAAAACUCAAAUGAAUUGACGGGGGCCCGCACAAGCGGUGGAGCAUGUGGUUUAAUUCGAUGCAACGCGAAGAACCUUACCUGGUCUUGACAUCCACAGAACUUUCCAGAGAUGGAUUGGUGCCUUCGGGAACUGUGAGACAGGUGCUGCAUGGCUGUCGUCAGCUCGUGUUGUGAAAUGUUGGGUUAAGUCCCGCAACGAGCGCAACCCUUAUCUUUUGUUGCCAGCGGUCCGGCCGGGAACUCAAAGGAGACUGCCAGUGAUAAACUGGAGGAAGGUGGGGAUGACGUCAAGUCAUCAUGGCCCUUACGACCAGGGCUACACACGUGCUACAAUGGCGCAUACAAAGAGAAGCGACCUCGCGAGAGCAAGCGGACCUCAUAAAGUGCGUCGUAGUCCGGAUUGGAGUCUGCAACUCGACUCCAUGAAGUCGGAAUCGCUAGUAAUCGUGGAUCAGAAUGCCACGGUGAAUACGUUCCCGGGCCUUGUACACACCGCCCGUCACACCAUGGGAGUGGGUUGCAAAAGAAGUAGGUAGCUUAACCUUCGGGAGGGCGCUUACCACUUUGUGAUUCAUGACUGGGGUGAAGUCGUAACAAGGUAACCGUAGGGGAACCUGCGGCUGGAUCACCUCC